Pelobates cultripes (western spadefoot toad) is the source of this 437-nucleotide non-coding RNA. Lineage: Eukaryota; Metazoa; Chordata; Amphibia; Anura; Pelobatidae. The record is from the annotation of a GenBank genome assembly.
CAGCACACACAGCUCAGGUGAGAUGGGACGCAGAAACUGCCCCAAAAUGCCCCGAAACCGCAGCGCGACAUAGGCCAAAUGUUACAGGCCCCAGGCGCAGUAAAGGCACAGACCCCCCGUGAAACAUCACCGGUACCAUCAGAGGAGGGAGAACCGCUAGACAGCCCACACCUUAAUCCCCAACACCCCACACACACGUGGAUGCCAGAAGCCAGCGCACCGGCCUCAAAACAAAAUAUACAGGCUAUGCUGACAGGCCUGCAAAAGAACUUAAGACAAAUGUGGGAAGCGGACCUGGCUGUGCUUAAACUAGACGUGCACGCCGUGUCCACGCGCACUCAGGCGGUAGAAGAGGAGGUAAAGGGACUAAGAGAGAAUUACCAGGAACUGGGGGAGAAGGUGCGACACCUUCAAGCUGCACAAGCGACAAUGUCCAG